UUCAAUGAGAGUUUGAUCAUAGCUCAGGAUGAACGUUGGCUGUGUGCCUAAGGUAUGCAAGUCGAACGAUCCCUGUUGAUUUCUUGAGACUUCGGUUGAUAGAUUUCUUUUUGGGAUAGUGGCAAACGGGUGCGUAACACGUGGAUAACCUGCCUUAAAGUCAUGAACAGCUCAUCGAAAGAUGGGAUAAUACAUGAUAGUCUUACAUUUCUUUUUGUUUUGUAAGUAAAGCUCCGGCGCUUUAAGAGGGGUCCGCGUCCUAUCAGCUUGUUGGUGAUGUAAUGGCUCACCAAGGCUAAGACGGGUAGCUGGCGUGAGAGCGCGGUCAGCCACCAUGGAACUGAGACACGG
Molecule: ribosomal RNA, 351 nt
Filed under: Candidatus Microgenomates bacterium
Lineage: Bacteria; Candidatus Microgenomatota
Description: bacterial SSU rRNA
Rfam family: Bacterial small subunit ribosomal RNA
Source: RNAcentral